AUACGGAAGGUCCGGGCGUUAUCCGGAUUUAUUGGGUUUAAAGGGAGCGCAGGCGGAGAUGCAAGCGUGACGUCAAAUUUCGGGGCUCAACCCCGUCUCGCGUCGCGAACUGCGUCCCUUGGUUGCGGGAAGGGGAGGCGGAACUCGUAGUGUAGCGGUGAAAUGCAUAGAUAUCACGAAGAACUCCGAUCGCGAAGGCAGCCUUCCGGCCCGUCAACGACGCUCAUGCUCGAAGGUGCGGGUAUCAAACAGGAUUAGAUACCCUGGUAGUCCGCACAGUAAACGAUGGACACCCGCGGUUUGGCCUGUAUGGCUGAGCCGCCAAGCGAAAGCGUUAAGUGUCCCACCUGGGGAGUACGCCGGCAACGGUGAAACUCAAAGGAAUUGACGGGG
This 393-nucleotide ribosomal RNA is filed under the name uncultured bacterium. RNAcentral describes it as "partial 16S ribosomal RNA". It matches the Rfam family "Bacterial small subunit ribosomal RNA", at positions 523 to 918 of the family's 1533-position model. The record is from RNAcentral.